RNAcentral lists this ribosomal RNA (253 nucleotides) under uncultured bacterium. Its description in RNAcentral is "partial 16S ribosomal RNA". It matches the Rfam family "Bacterial small subunit ribosomal RNA", at positions 524 to 776 of the family's 1533-position model. The record is from RNAcentral.
GACGUAGGUUGCGAGCGUUAUUCGGAUUCACUAGGCGUAAAGCGUGUGUAGGCGGAUGCCUAAGUCUGUUGUGAAAUCUCCUGGCUCAACUAGGAGAGGUCAAUAGAUACUGGGUGUCUUGAGUUGGGUAGGGGGGACCGGAAUUCCUGGUGUAGCGGUGAAAUGCGCAGAUAUCAGGAGGAACACCGGCGGCGAAGGCGGGUCCCUGGGCCUUAACUGACGCUCAGACACGAAAGCUGGGGUAGCAAACAGG